Molecule: ribosomal RNA, 274 nt
Filed under: uncultured bacterium
Lineage: Bacteria
Description: partial 16S ribosomal RNA
Rfam family: Bacterial small subunit ribosomal RNA
Source: RNAcentral
AUACGGAGGGUGCAAGCGUUACUCGGAAUCACUGGGCGUAAAGCGCGCGCAGGCGGCUAUUUAAGUUGGAUGUGAAAGCCUACGGCUCAACCGUAGAACUGCAUCCAAAACUAUUUAGCUAGAGUGUGGGAGAGGAAGAUGGAAUUAGUUGUGUAGGGGUAAAAUCCGUAGAGAUAACUAGGAAUACCAAAAGCGAAGGCAAUCUUCUGGAACACUACUGACGCUCAGGCGCGAAAGCGUGGGGAGCAAACAGGAUUAGAUACCCUAGUAGUCC